CAUGUCUUUUUGUUUAUGAUUUAAAGUCUAACCUGCCCAGUGAUUAUUUUAAAUGGCCGCGGUAUUUUGACCGUGCGAAGGUAGCAUAAUAAUUAGCUUUUUGAUUGGGAGCUGGUAUGAAUGGUUGAACGAGAAAAUUACUGUCUCUUUAUAAUUUAAAUUAGAAUUUAAUUUUUGAGUAAAAAAGCUUAAAUGUUAGUAAAAGACGAGAAGACCCUAUAGAGUUUAAUAUUUAUUUGAUUGUUUUUAUUUUUGAAUUUAAAUAUAAUUAUUAAAUUAAGUAUUUAGUUGGGGUGAUUGAAAGACUUAAUAAACUCUUUUUAUAUAAUUACACUUAUAUGUGAUAUUUUGAUCCAUUAUUUUUGAUUAAAAGAUUAAAUUACCUUAGGGAUAACAGCGUUAUUUUUUUAGAGAGUUCAAAUCGAUAAAAGAAAUUGCGACCUCGAUGUUGGAUUAAAGUUUAUUUUAGGAGCAAAAGCUUAAUUAUUUGGUCUGUUCGACCAUUAAAACUUUACAUGAUCUGAGU
This 526-nucleotide ribosomal RNA is filed under the name Dryops sp. UPOL RK0672. RNAcentral's name for it is "partial 16S ribosomal RNA". It matches the Rfam family "Bacterial large subunit ribosomal RNA", at positions 1816 to 2610 of the family's 2925-position model. The record is from RNAcentral. Lineage: Eukaryota; Metazoa; Arthropoda; Insecta; Coleoptera; Dryopidae.